This 253-nucleotide ribosomal RNA is filed under the name uncultured bacterium. RNAcentral describes it as "partial 16S ribosomal RNA". It matches the Rfam family "Bacterial small subunit ribosomal RNA", at positions 524 to 776 of the family's 1533-position model. The record is from RNAcentral.
UACGUAGGGUGCGAGCGUUGUCCGGAAUUAUUGGGCGUAAAGAGCGUGUAGGCGGCUUUACAGGUCCGUUGUGAAAACUCGAGGCUCAACCUCGAGACGUCGAUGGAAACCAUCUGGCUAGAGUCCGGAAGAGGAGAGUGGAAUUCCUGGUGUAGCGGUGAAAUGCGCAGAUAUCAGGAAGAACACCCGUGGCGAAGGCGGCUCUCUGGUACGUGACUGACGCUGAGACGCGAAAGCGUGGGGAGCAAACAGG